GACUUCUUUAUGCACCUGAAGAGGAUCUCCCAGAAUCUGGUUCCAUCUGCAAGUUCAGGCUGAGCAUCAGUGGCAUAUAUAAUGAGCAGUCUGUUGUCACUCCAGAUUGAAAAGGCAGUGGGCAGUACUGGACCUCCUCUGGUUGAAUGCCAGAUCCAUCCUCUGAUCAGAAGCUGAGCUGCCUUGACUUAUUUAUAAUCAGUCUCCAAGUGCAGUACCAGAUCUAGUCUUCUUACGAAGAAGUAAUUUCUUGCCUUGGGCCUUGUAACUAGAAGGGAAUAAUGCUUAAGCAGAGACACACAUACAGGAAAGAAGACAAUGACUUCUAACACUGUUGAAAUGUCAGACCAUGACCUUUAAAAAGACUGAAAGAAACCAGAGGGCAUAAGCCCUAAGGGAUGUUUCUGCAUGAGCAAGAGUGGGAGUUGACUAUUUUUGUAUCUACAAGGAAAGGUGAUAUAUUGCUACCCUCAUUCAUUUGGUCUAUGGAAUUUGUUACUGAAAACACAUGUUCAUAACCAGGGAUCACAUCGUGCCAGUCGUCUUUUCAAAGAUUAGAUCUGUAUGUAACUACAUAGGAAGACUCACAGUCAUAAUACAUAAGUGUAAUCUGAAACAUUUCAUGCUGAACUGCUGCAGCUACUUUAAAGCCUUGUAGUAAUAGCAAGGCAGGAUUUGAGUUAUUUUUUACUGAGAAAGGGACUGCACUGCACACAUGCAGCAGAGAUGUAACAUCAACCCAAAAGACUGGCUCUGGAACUGUUCAGCACGCUGUCUGCUUGUGCUGCUAAUUCUCAUGGGAUGGGAUGUGAUAAAGUUUUUGUUGGGAACGUUAAUCUUAUUUCUGUACAGCUGAGAUUCUUUUCCACCAACUGUAAAUAUCCUCUCCCAAGAUAUCACCAAUGAACCUUAUCUGCCUUCCUUCUUCAGGCUGUGUUGUAAAAUUAUUUAACAUACGCAAAGAUCUUCAGUUUCAAUGCUUAUAGUCUCAUUAAUGCUACUUGCUACUUAUCCAAUUUGAAACCCUCAAGACUUAAAUUUUGUAUGUGGCAUCUCUGUGAACCAUAUGUAAUUUGGGAGAACACUUUUAAUAUGUCGUUUUAAUAUUUUUGCUUUCCUUCACUUUCAGUGGUUUGUCUUGGUUGAUUUAUUUCUGGAUAUUUCCUAAAGUGCCAGGCAAUAAACGUCUGUACAUUCCUGUGAUUUGUUUGAGCAGUUUGAACCAUUUUUCUGUGACUAGGAAGGGAAUCUUACGUAUCUGUAGGCUUUAGACAUAGACAUGCAAAGCCUAACUUAAUUUUUAAACCAAGUAUGGUACUAUAAAUUAUAAAUAAUUUUGCAUUUUCUAUUCUGUCUUAAUUAUUCUUUUGUUGUCUUCCCAAGACAGAUUUAAUCCUUAUUUUUGUUAUCUAGUCACACAGUAGUUGAAAGUGGCUUGUGGAUCAUGGUAACUAGACAUAGAAAUAUCUGCUCAGCUAUUUAUUCCAUUUAUCCAGUGAUUUGAUUAUUAUCCAAAUAGGUCAAUGAGAGAUAGCUAACGUAUUCAACCAUGCUUUCUGAAGAAUGGCUCCUCUCAAGCUCUAGAAGACUUGCCUUUAUUACAUGCUUAGGAGCUUAAAAAAAAACCUGAUAUCGCUUCUAGAUGUCUGUUUCGUAGGAAGGCUUAAGGAAUAGAUUUCCCAUGAAAGUUAUUAUGAAGAUGGAGUUUAAGAAGAAAA
Meleagris gallopavo (turkey) is the source of this 1718-nucleotide non-coding RNA. The record is from RefSeq and is a predicted model, not a curated record. NCBI's taxonomy places the organism in Eukaryota, Metazoa, Chordata, Aves, Galliformes, Phasianidae.